Molecule: long non-coding RNA, 492 nt
Organism: Vicia villosa (hairy vetch)
Lineage: Eukaryota; Viridiplantae; Streptophyta; Magnoliopsida; Fabales; Fabaceae
Exons: 4
Source: RefSeq, a predicted model, not a curated record
CUCAUAUUUGGUUCUCUCCCUCUUCUCUCUAUUCUCUCUUUUUCUUGAAACCCUAAAUCUGAAACCUUUUUCAAACUCGUCACCGCCACCGGAUCUGCAACAAUCACCUCGCCGACAUCCGAAUUUAAUAGUUAUUCUACAAAGCCGAGCUGUUGGAGAACUUUAUUUUAGAUUCUUUUCAAGCGCUCAUGAUUGCUUCUGGUUCUUACACCAUGGUUCUAGGAUAAGUUCUGCAGCAUUAAUCGAUAGGACAUUGUCCUACGUAAACUUGAGAAGAUUUUUUUUUUCAAUUUCCCAGUUGUGACAAGGAUUUGGUGAUGUUGUGUGGCAUCCCGUUUUCGGAUGUGGUUUGUUGGCAGCUUUGUUGUGCAGGUCCGGUGCAGCAGGACCAAUUCCAAAGCUGUCUGGUUUCCUUUUGUUGGUUGUUAGCUUUGUCAAACAGUUUGUUUGACAGAGGGUAUUAAGCAUAAUAAGGCAAGAACUAUGAAGCUU